AUACGGAGGGUGCAAGCGUUAUUCGGAAUCACUGGGCGUAAAGGACGCGUAGGCGGGUUGGCAAGUCAGAUGUGAAAUCCUACAGCUUAACUGUAGAACUGCAUUUGAAACUGCUAACCUUGAGUAUGGGAGGGGGAGAUGGAAUUAGUGGUGUAGGGGUAAAAUCCGUAGAUAUCACUAGGAAUACCGAAAGCGAAGGCGAUCUGCUGGGACAUUACUGACGCUGAGGCGUGAAAGCGUGGGGAGCAAACAGGAUUAGAUACCCUUGUAGUCC
RNAcentral lists this ribosomal RNA (274 nucleotides) under uncultured bacterium. RNAcentral describes it as "partial 16S ribosomal RNA". It matches the Rfam family "Bacterial small subunit ribosomal RNA", at positions 523 to 796 of the family's 1533-position model. The record is from RNAcentral.